This 74-nucleotide transfer RNA is filed under the name Pangshura sylhetensis (Assam roofed turtle). RNAcentral describes it as "tRNA-Asn". The record is from RNAcentral. Lineage: Eukaryota; Metazoa; Chordata; Testudines; Geoemydidae.
UAGACAGAAGUCCGCUGGAUUGGGUGUUUAGCUGUUAACUAAAUUAUUUGCGGGAUCGAGGCCCGUUUGUCUAG